ACAAGUGGAGGCAUGGCUGAAAGGUGUGGCUGCGGACAGACCCGCCAGGAGGAGCCUCUCUGCGGCGGAAGGAAACUUUUUUUAUUGUUCUUCUGACGAUGGCUUCAUGACGUCAGCGAGCAGAGGGCAGUGAAGCCGCGCGAGGCGAGUCCCGAGCGAGCUGUGGACUUCUUUGUGUCUGAACCCAGAGGAACCUGCUGUGGUCUCAGCCUGAAGCUCCUGGACUUCACUGUCCUCCGUCAGCAGCCGGAAAUGGGACAGACUGACUGAACUGAAGAGCACUUCCUGCCCAUCUGUUGUCAGUCACGGUUCCACAUCACCUUUUGAGCAAACAUGCGUAGAUUCAGUUCUGAGGGAUCCCUCUUGGAUCUGGACUUCCUACCAUGGAAGACGAUAUCCAUGAAACACCCAGAACACAGGAAAAGCCUGCACUCUGAUGCGUACACACCUCACCUGGAGAGCGACGAGCUGGAUGGAGGGAUCCCUGGUCGGGUCCCCAUCAUUCAGGAGACUAAAGUGACUUCCAGUGACAAGGGGAAGACGGUUCUGAGCAGGGAGCAUAGCAUCAGCGUGGAGAACCUGUCUGAGCGGGGAAACCUGGCCAAGAACCACCUGGAAGUGUGCGCGAUCAACGAAGGCUGCAGGGCUUACAGUGACAGCCAACUGGCUCCCAAUGCUGAGGGCCCGGACGGCGUGGAGCAAGACGACCAUACUCCAUCUCCAUCAGCUUACUUCAACUCACUUUUCAACAAACCUAACGACCGACACCAUCAUAGGGCCAAGCUGUCGGCUGCUAAACUGCACCUCAAGAGCCUGUUUGGACAGAGUCCACAUUCAUCAAACCCCAACUUGUCCAACACAGUGGAGAAAGACAGUGCUACAGAGAGGAGGUCUCGUCUGCACUUCAUGCAUCAGUGGAGUCAAGUGGGCCUCGGAAAGAAGAGGAAGUUCAGUCGAGAAGAUCUGGAGAAGUGGGCGGAGUCUUUAGACUCUUUGUUAGCCAGUCACACUGGCGUUUCCGUGUUCGGGGCGUUUUUGCGCUCCGAGUUCAGCGAGGAGAAUCUGCAGUUCUACUUGGCCUGCGAGGAGUACAGCCAUUCCUCCAACAACUUCAGCCUGCAGAGGAGGGCCAGAGACAUCAGCGCCACGUACAUCCAAGCAGGCUCUCCACGUGAGGUGAACCUGGACAGUAAGACCAGAGACCUGACCCUGCAGCUGCUGCAGGCCCCCUCCCGCAGCUCGCUGCAGCACGCACAGAAGCGCAUCUACUCCCUGCUGGACACAGAUUGUUACCCUCGCUUCCUCCAGUCCAACAUCUACCUCUGUUUGCUGCAAGAAGCCGAGUAAAAGCCACGCACCUGGACUGAGUGGACCCCGUGGACCACGUGGUCUGGGACUUUGUAAACCCUGAGAAAUGUGGGGGUGGAGGGCGUUACUGGUUCUUCGGCUGCACUUUUAUGGCUCGUGUUUAUAAUUAUUUUACCUCUACAGGGUCGUUUUAAUUUACCAGAGGAUUCUUUGUAUUCUGUUUUUAUUCUGAUCAGAUAUGAAAUAAAAGGUUUUUUUUCAACACUGCA
Austrofundulus limnaeus is the source of this 1577-nucleotide RNA transcript. It is a transcript of the gene named regulator of G-protein signaling 1, with no coding region annotated. Lineage: Eukaryota; Metazoa; Chordata; Actinopteri; Cyprinodontiformes; Rivulidae. The transcript has 7 exons. The record is from RefSeq and is a predicted model, not a curated record.